This 22-nucleotide non-coding RNA is filed under the name Arabidopsis thaliana (thale cress). Lineage: Eukaryota; Viridiplantae; Streptophyta; Magnoliopsida; Brassicales; Brassicaceae. The record is from RNAcentral.
GGUGUGACUUGUCGUCUUUGGC